UCGACGCCGCGUGCGGGAUGAAGGCCUUCGGGUUGUAAACCGCUUUCAGUAGGGAAGAAGCGAAAGUGACGGUACCUACAAAAGAAGCACCGGCUAACUAUGUGCCAGCAGCCGCGGUAAUACAUAGGGUGCAAGCGUUGUCCGGAAUUAUUGGGCGUAAAGAGCUCGUAGGUUGUUCGUUACGUCGGAUGUGAAAAUCUGAGGCUUAACCUCAGACCUGCAUUCGAUGCGGGCGAACUAGAGUGUGGUAGGGGAGACUGGAAUUCCUGGUGUAGCGGUGGAAUGCGCAGAUAUCAGGAGGAACACCAAUGGCGAAGGCAGGUCUCUGGGCCAUUACUGACACUGAGGAGCGAAAGUCUGGGGAGCGUACAGGAUUAGAUACCCUGGUAGUCCAGACCGUAAACGGUGGGCGCUAGUUGUGGGAACCUUCCACGGUUUCUGCGACGCAGCUAACGCAUUAAGCGCCCCGCCUGGGGAGUACGAUCGCAAGAUUAAAACUCAAAGGAAUUGACGGGGCCCCGCACAAGCAGCGGAGCAUGCGGCUUAAUUCGACGCAACGCGAAGAACCUUACCAAGGCUUGACAUAUAGAGAAAAGCAAUAGAGAUAUUGUGUCCGCAAGGGCUUUAUACCGGUGGUGCAUGGUUGUCGUCAGCUCGUGUCGUGAGAUGUUGGGGUAAGUCCCCGGAAGAAGCGCAACCCUCGCUUCUGUGUUGCCAGCAUUUA
RNAcentral lists this ribosomal RNA (724 nucleotides) under uncultured archaeon. RNAcentral's name for it is "bacterial SSU rRNA". It matches the Rfam family "Bacterial small subunit ribosomal RNA", at positions 391 to 1127 of the family's 1533-position model. The record is from RNAcentral.